Molecule: ribosomal RNA, 250 nt
Filed under: Thraustochytriidae sp.
Lineage: Eukaryota; Bigyra; Thraustochytrida; Thraustochytriidae
Description: Thraustochytriaceae sp. partial small subunit ribosomal RNA
Rfam family: Eukaryotic small subunit ribosomal RNA
Source: RNAcentral
GAGGUGUAGGUAUGGCGACAUACCGUUGGCAGCUUCUUAGAGGGACAUUUCGGGUUUACCGGAAGGAAGUUUGUGGCAAUAACAGGUCUGUGAUGCCCUUAGAUGUUCUGGGCCGCACGCGCGCUACACUGACGACUUCAACAAGUUUUUUUCUUUGAAAAAGUCCUUGGCUGGAAAGUCUGGGUAAUCUUUUAAACGGUCGUCGUGAUGGGGCUAGAUUCUUGCAAUUAUUAAUCUCCAACGAGGAACC